This 253-nucleotide ribosomal RNA is filed under the name uncultured bacterium. RNAcentral's name for it is "partial 16S ribosomal RNA". It matches the Rfam family "Bacterial small subunit ribosomal RNA", at positions 524 to 776 of the family's 1533-position model. The record is from RNAcentral.
UACGGGGGAUGCAAGCGUUAUCCGGAAUUAUUGGGCGUAAAGCGUCCGCAGGUGGUUGACCAAGUCUGCUGUUAAAGCAUGGGGCUUAACUCCAUAUAGGCAGUGGAAACUGGUCGACUAGAGUACGGUAGGGGUCGCGGGAAUUCCCAGUGUAGCGGUGAAAUGCGUAGAUAUUGGGAAGAACACCAGUGGCGAAAGCGCGCGGCUGGACCUGUACUGACACUGAGGGACGAAAGCUAGGGGAGCGAAAGGG